Molecule: ribosomal RNA, 261 nt
Filed under: uncultured archaeon
Lineage: Archaea
Description: partial 16S ribosomal RNA
Rfam family: Archaeal small subunit ribosomal RNA
Source: RNAcentral
CAGCCGUAAACGAUGUGCGUUAGGUGUAUCGACGACCACGAGUCGUCGAGGUGCCGAAGGGAAACCGCGAAACGUACCGCCUGGGAAGUACGGUCGCAAGGCUGAAACUUAAAGGAAUUGGCGGGGGAGCACCACAACAGGUGGAGCCUGCGGUUUAAUUGGACUCAACGCCGGAAAUCUCACCGGAUAGGACAGCAGAAUGAUUGCCGGGCUGAAGACUCUGCAUGACUAGCUGAGAGGAGGUGCAUGGCGUAGACGUCU